GGCGGGUAGAGCGGGAGGGCGAACGCCUGGAGAAGCCACCUGAUUGCCCUCUGGAGCUAUACGCUGUAAUGCGAAAGUCCUGGGCAUGCAAUCCUGCAGACAGACCCAGCUUUGCCCAGCUCACUGCGAUGGUGGCGGAGGCUAAACCCAGAGAGGUGCAAGCAAUAAGAGAAUUUGCAGAACCCAGAAAGCUCACACUUUUGCCCAACGACCUCGUGACUGUCAUCGACCACAGUCUGGAGCUGAGUGAGUGGAGGGGGCAGAACCAGAGGAC
Neolamprologus brichardi is the source of this 274-nucleotide non-coding RNA. NCBI's taxonomy places the organism in Eukaryota, Metazoa, Chordata, Actinopteri, Cichliformes, Cichlidae. The record is from RefSeq and is a predicted model, not a curated record.